Molecule: non-coding RNA, 98 nt
Filed under: human gut metagenome
Description: THF riboswitch
Rfam family: THF (Tetrahydrofolate) riboswitch aptamer
About the family: THF riboswitch presents a pseudoknot that joins P1-P2 and the loop of P3 and two THF binding.
Source: RNAcentral
UAGAGUAGAGAAUAAAUAGUUAAGUGUUACUAAACGGGAAGUUGUUAGUAAACGAAAAAGCUAAAAUAGCUUUGCUGAUUUAUUUUCGCAUUCCGCUA